GGCUCAGGACGAACGCUGGCGGCAUGCCUAAUACAUGCAAGUCGAGCGGACUUGAAGAGAAGCUUGCUUCUCUGAUGGUUAGCGGCGGACGGGUGAGUAACACGUAGGCAACCUGCCCUCAAGCUUGGGACAACUACCGGAAACGGUAGCUAAUACCGAAUACUUGUUUUCUUCGCCUGAAGAGAACUGGAAAGACGGAGCAAUCUGUCACUUGGGGAUGGGCCUGCGGCGCAUUAGCUAGUUGGUGAGGUAACGGCUCACCAAGGCGACGAUGCGUAGCCGACCUGAGAGGGUGAUCGGCCACACUGGGACUGAGACACGGCCCAGACUCCUACGGGAGGCAGCAGUAGGGAAUCUUCCGCAAUGGGCGAAAGCCUGACGGAGCAAUGCCGCGUGAGUGAUGAAGGUUUUCGGAUCGUAAAGCUCUGUUGCCAGGGAAGAACGCUUGGGAGAGUAACUGCUCUCAAGGUGACGGUACCUGAGAAGAAAGCCCCGGCUAACUACGUGCCAG
RNAcentral lists this ribosomal RNA (511 nucleotides) under Paenibacillus sp. RNAcentral's name for it is "bacterial SSU rRNA". It matches the Rfam family "Bacterial small subunit ribosomal RNA", at positions 21 to 511 of the family's 1533-position model. Lineage: Bacteria; Bacillati; Bacillota; Bacilli; Caryophanales; Paenibacillaceae. The record is from RNAcentral.